ACUAAGCGUACACGGUGGAUGCCCUGGCAGUCAGAGGCGAUGAAGGACGUGCUAAUCUGCGAUAAGCGUCGGUGAGGUGAUAUGAACCGUUAUAACCGGCGAUUUCCGAAUGGGGAAACCCAGUGUGUUUCGACACACUAUCAUUAACUGAAUCCAUAGGUUAAUGAGGCGAACCGGGGGAACUGAAACAUCUAAGUACCCCGAGGAAAAGAAAUCAACCGAGAUUCCCCCAGUAGCGGCGAGCGAACGGGGAGGAGCCCAGAGCCUGAAUCAGUGUGUGUGUUAGUGGAAGCGUCUGGAAAGGCGCGCGAUACAGGGUGACAGCCCCGUACACAAAAAUGCACAUAUUGUGAGCUCGAUGAGUAGGGCGGGACACGUGGUAUCCUGUCUGAAUAUGGGGGGACCAUCCUCCAAGGCUAAAUACUCCUGACUGACCGAUAGUGAACCAGUACCGUGAGGGAAAGGCGAAAAGAACCCCGGCGAGGGGAGUGAAAAAGAACCUGAAACCGUGUACGUACAAGCAGUGGGAGCCUCUUAAUGGGGUGACUGCGUACCUUUUGUAUAAUGGGUCAGCGACUUAUAUUCUGUAGCAAGGUUAACCGAAUAGGGGAGCCGAAGGGAAACCGAGUCUUAACUGGGCGUUAAGUUGCAGGGUAUAGACCCGAAACCCGGUGAUCUAGCCAUGGGCAGGUUGAAGGUUGGGUAACACUAACUGGAGGACCGAACCGACUAAUGUUGAAAAAUUAGCGGAUGACUUGUGGCUGGGGGUGAAAGGCCAAUCAAACCGGGAGAUAGCUGGUUCUCCCCGAAAGCUAUUUAGGUAGCGCCUCGUGAAUUCAUCUCCGGGGGUAGAGCACUGUUUCGGCAAGGGGGUCAUCCCGACUUACCAACCCGAUGCAAACUGCGAAUACCGGAGAAUGUUAUCACGGGAGACACACGGCGGGUGCUAACGUCCGUCGUGAAGAGGGAAACAACCCAGACCGCCAGCUAAGGUCCCAAAGUCAUGGUUAAGUGGGAAACGAUGUGGGAAGGCCCAGACAGCCAGGAUGUUGGCUUAGAAGCAGCCAUCAUUUAAAGAAAGCGUAAUAGCUCACUGGUCGAGUCGGCCUGCGCGGAAGAUGUAACGGGGCUAAACCAUGCACCGAAGCUGCGGCAGCGACACUAUGUGUUGUUGGGUAGGGGAGCGUUCUGUAAGCCUGUGAAGGUGGCCUGUGAGGGUUGCUGGAGGUAUCAGAAGUGCGAAUGCUGACAUAAGUAACGAUAAAGCGGGUGAAAAGCCCGCUCGCCGGAAGACCAAGGGUUCCUGUCCAACGUUAAUCGGGGCAGGGUGAGUCGACCCCUAAGGCGAGGCCGAAAGGCGUAGUCGAUGGGAAACAGGUUAAUAUUCCUGUACUUGGUGUUACUGCGAAGGGGGGACGGAGAAGGCUAUGUUGGCCGGGCGACGGUUGUCCCGGUUUAAGCGUGUAGGCUGGUUUUCCAGGCAAAUCCGGAAAACCAAGGCUGAGGCGUGAUGACGAGGCACUACGGUGCUGAAGCGACAAAUGCCCUGCUUCCAGGAAAAGCCUCUAAGCAUCAGGUAACAUCAAAUCGUACCCCAAACCGACACAGGUGGUCAGGUAGAGAAUACCAAGGCGCUUGAGAGAACUCGGGUGAAGGAACUAGGCAAAAUGGUGCCGUAACUUCGGGAGAAGGCACGCUGAUAUGUAGGUGAAGCGACUUGCUCGUGGAGCUGAAAUCAGUCGAAGAUACCAGCUGGCUGCAACUGUUUAUUAAAAACACAGCACUGUGCAAACACGAAAGUGGACGUAUACGGUGUGACGCCUGCCCGGUGCCGGAAGGUUAAUUGAUGGGGUUAGCGGUAACGCGAAGCUCUUGAUCGAAGCCCCGGUAAACGGCGGCCGUAACUAUAACGGUCCUAAGGUAGCGAAAUUCCUUGUCGGGUAAGUUCCGACCUGCACGAAUGGCGUAAUGAUGGCCAGGCUGUCUCCACCCGAGACUCAGUGAAAUUGAACUCGCUGUGAAGAUGCAGUGUACCCGCGGCAAGACGGAAAGACCCCGUGAACCUUUACUAUAGCUUGACACUGAACAUUGAGCCUUGAUGUGUAGGAUAGGUGGGAGGCUUUGAAGUGUGGACGCCAGUCUGCAUGGAGCCGACCUUGAAAUACCACCCUUUAAUGUUUGAUGUUCUAACGUUGGCCCGUAAUCCGGGUUGCGGACAGUGUCUGGUGGGUAGUUUGACUGGGGCGGUCUCCUCCUAAAGAGUAACGGAGGAGCACGAAGGUUGGCUAAUCCUGGUCGGACAUCAGGAGGUUAGUGCAAUGGCAUAAGCCAGCUUGACUGCGAGCGUGACGGCGCGAGCAGGUGCGAAAGCAGGUCAUAGUGAUCCGGUGGUUCUGAAUGGAAGGGCCAUCGCUCAACGGAUAAAAGGUACUCCGGGGAUAACAGGCUGAUACCGCCCAAGAGUUCAUAUCGACGGCGGUGUUUGGCACCUCGAUGUCGGCUCAUCACAUCCUGGGGCUGAAGUAGGUCCCAAGGGUAUGGCUGUUCGCCAUUUAAAGUGGUACGCGAGCUGGGUUUAGAACGUCGUGAGACAGUUCGGUCCCUAUCUGCCGUGGGCGCUGGAGAACUGAGGGGGGCUGCUCCUAGUACGAGAGGACCGGAGUGGACGCAUCACUGGUGUUCGGGUUGUCAUGCCAAUGGCACUGCCCGGUAGCUAAAUGCGGAAGAGAUAAGUGCUGAAAGCAUCUAAGCACGAAACUUGCCCCGAGAUGAGUUCUCCCUGAGACUUAGAGUCUCCUGAAGGAACGUUGAAGACGACGACGUUGAUAGGCCGGGUGUGUAAGCGCAGCGAUGCGUUGAGCUAACCGGUACUAAUGAACCGUGAGGCUUAACC
This 2893-nucleotide ribosomal RNA is filed under the name Escherichia coli. Its description in RNAcentral is "bacterial LSU rRNA". It matches the Rfam family "Bacterial large subunit ribosomal RNA". The record is from RNAcentral. Lineage: Bacteria; Pseudomonadati; Pseudomonadota; Gammaproteobacteria; Enterobacterales; Enterobacteriaceae.